RNAcentral lists this small RNA (1022 nucleotides) under Mycoplasmoides pneumoniae M129. Its description in RNAcentral is "Mycoplasma pneumoniae M129 ncRNA". Lineage: Bacteria; Bacillati; Mycoplasmatota; Mycoplasmoidales; Mycoplasmoidaceae. The record is from RNAcentral.
GCAAAAAGUUGUUAGGCUUAAAACCAAUCUUUUAGCUCACUAUUUCAGUAAAUCGAUCCCUGUUUUUAUGCGUUUAUCGCCAAUUGGUAAUUGUGGUUUAUUGAUGGAACUUAAAGCCAGUUGUUGAGUACCUUUAUAGGCUGCCUGGAAUAAUAAAAGCGCUGCUACAACAUCACUGGCAAAUUUGCUGCUAGUUCCGUUUGAACUACUCAAACUUAAACCGUCAAUAUCUUUAUAGGAAAACUGCAAAUAAGUGAUCUUAUCACUACCGUCGGUAUAGGUUAAAUAGUUGCCAGUUCCACUCUUACCAGAAUCUCUUUGAACUGCUUGUGCAUUAUUACCAAAGAAAUCUUUGUAUUGAUCUAAAACAUCCAAUAAGAGUUUUUGCUUCGCUUUAAAGUCCAAAGUAGGAUUGCCAACCGCAUCUGUUUGGAAGUAUGCAGCAAUUGUUUUUUGGGUACCACUGUUGCCACUUGUAUUCGGUUUUAAGGCUAUUAGUUGGUUGGCAAUUCGGUCUAAUAAUAAUUGAUUUUUAGUUUCGCCAAUGAUCUUUUUCAGGUCAGCUUGAGAACCAUACUGUUGCAAGGAAGUUUUGGUUAUUUGAUCCAAAAUGGCUUGCUGGGUAGCAGCACCUAACAUCGAACCACUACUGGUACUCAAACCAGUAAAGCCAUAACUGUUAGUUUGCUGAUUGUUCAUCUGCGUAUUUUGAACCAUCACAGCUGUAUUAGCACUUUGAGUGGUUUUCGCUUCUGGUUUAGUGGUGGUUUUAUAGAAGAAACUGUUGGGGUCUAUAAUUUGCGUAGCACUCUUAGCCGCAUUCGUUUCGUUUUCGUAAUUAAAGUAAGAACCGAAUAUACCUUGCGGGUUAGAGAAGUUCUGCGUUUCAGUAUUCUUGUAAGCAAUAAAAGCAAUUUCACCAAACUUGAGGUUUGCCUUUAAUAAAUCCUUGAAGUUCUUUAGGUUUUUGUCUACCAACCACUCUAAGGUAUAGAUAAAGCGGUAGUGUUCAAUCACUGCCU